Molecule: ribosomal RNA, 253 nt
Filed under: uncultured bacterium
Lineage: Bacteria
Also listed under: 1 other name
Description: partial 16S ribosomal RNA
Rfam family: Bacterial small subunit ribosomal RNA
Source: RNAcentral
UACGGAGGGGGCUAGCGUUGUUCGGAAUUACUGGGCGUAAAGCGCGCGUAGGCGGUUCUUCAAGUCAGAGGUGAAAGCCCGGUGCUCAACAUCGGAAUUGCCUUUGAAACUAGGGAACUUGAAUCCAGGAGAGGUGAGUGGAAUUCCGAGUGUAGAGGUGAAAUUCGUAGAUAUUCGGAAGAACACCAGUGGCGAAGGCGGCUCACUGGACUGGUAUUGACGCUGAGGUGCGAAAGCGUGGGGAGCAAACAGG